Long non-coding RNA from Etheostoma cragini (Arkansas darter), 281 nucleotides. RefSeq lists it as uncharacterized. Lineage: Eukaryota; Metazoa; Chordata; Actinopteri; Perciformes; Percidae. The record is from RefSeq and is a predicted model, not a curated record. The transcript has 3 exons.
GUCUGGUGGAGAUAUGCUGCUCUAUACACGCUAAAAGUAGUGAUUAUUUACAUGGAGUCUGGUGGAGAUAUGCUGCUCUAUACACGCUAAAAGUAGUGAUUAUUUACAUGGAGUCUGGUGGAGAUAUGCUGCUCUAUACACGCUAAAAGUAGUGAUUAUUUACAUGGAGUCUGGUGGAGAUAUGCUGCUCUAUACACGCUAAAAGUAGUGAUUAUUUACAUGGAGUCUGGUGGGUUUGGUGAAGGUGAUUUCGGGGCUGUUUUAUGUCAAACUAAAUGUGU